RNAcentral lists this ribosomal RNA (484 nucleotides) under uncultured bacterium. RNAcentral describes it as "partial 16S ribosomal RNA". It matches the Rfam family "Bacterial small subunit ribosomal RNA", at positions 30 to 507 of the family's 1533-position model. The record is from RNAcentral.
AUUGAACGCUGGCGGCAGGCCUAACACAUGCAAGUCGAGCGGAUGAAGCGAGCUUGCUCCUGGAUUCAGCGGCGGACGGGUGAGUAAUGCCUAGGAAUCUGCCUGGUAGUGGGGGAUAACGUCCGGAAACGGGCGCUAAUACCGCAUACGUCCUGAGGGAGAAAGUGGGGGGUCUUCGGACCUCUCGCUAUCAGAUGAGCCUAGGUCGGAGUAGCUAGUUGGUGGGGUAAAGACCUACCAAGGCGACGAUCCGUAACUGGUCUGAGAGGAUGAUCAGUCACACUGGAACUGAGACACGGACCAGACGCCUACGGGAGGCAGCAGUGGGGAAUAUUGGACAAUGGGCGAAAGCCCGAUCCAGCCAUGCCGCGUGUGUGAAGAAGGUCUUCGGAUUGUAAAGCACUUUAAGUUGGGAGGAAGGGCAGUAAGUUAAUACCUUGCUGUUUUGACGUUACCAGCAGAAUAAGCACCGGCUAACUUCGUG